CAAAAAUUGAGGUCCUGAAGACCCAAAAUCCUUUAAAAUUGGCACCAAAAAAUUGAGGUUCGGAAGGCCCAAAAUCCCAUCAAUUUAGACCCAAAAAUUGGGGUUCUGAAGGCACAAAAUCCCAUCAAUUUGGCCCCAAAAAUUGAGGUCCCGAAGACUCGAAAUCCCAUCAAUUUUGACCCAAAAAUUGAGGUUCUGAAGACCUGAAAUCCCUUAAAUUUGGCCCCAAAAAAUUGAGGUUCUGAAGACCCAAAAUCCCAUCAAUUUUGACCCAAAAAAUUGAGGUUCUGAAGACCCGAAAUCCCAUCAAUUUUGACCCAAAAAUUGAGGUUCUGUAGACCUGAAAUCCUUUAAA
This is a long non-coding RNA of Lagopus muta (rock ptarmigan), 355 nucleotides long. RefSeq lists it as uncharacterized. The transcript is spliced from 3 exons. The record is from RefSeq and is a predicted model, not a curated record. NCBI's taxonomy places the organism in Eukaryota, Metazoa, Chordata, Aves, Galliformes, Phasianidae.